Molecule: ribosomal RNA, 627 nt
Filed under: Penicillium sp.
Lineage: Eukaryota; Fungi; Ascomycota; Eurotiomycetes; Eurotiales; Aspergillaceae
Description: eukaryotic LSU rRNA
Rfam family: Eukaryotic large subunit ribosomal RNA (bases 128-627)
Source: RNAcentral
CCCCAAAGGCAGUGGCGGCGCCGCGUUGGGUCCUCGAGCGUAUGGGGCUCUGUCACCCGCUCGGGAGGGACUCGGUCGGCGCUGGUCUUCCCCCCCAGGCGGCCCUUCGGGGCUCGUCUCCUCCGGUUGACCUCGGAUCAGGUAGGGCUACCCGCUGAACUUAAGCAUAUCAAUAAGCGGAGGAAAAGAAACCAACAGGGAUUGCCUCAGUAACGGCGAGUGAAGCGGCAAGAGCUCAAAUUUGAAAUCUGGCUCCUUCGGGGCCCGAGUUGUAAUUUGGAGAGGAUGCUUCGGGCGUGGCCCCCAUCUAAGUGCCCUGGAACGGGCCGUCAUAGAGGGUGAGAAUCCCGUCUGGGAUGGGUGGUCCCGCCCGUGUGAAGCUCCUUCGAAGAGUCGAGUUGUUUGGGAAUGCAGCUCUAAGAGGGUGGUAAAUUUCAUCUAAAGCUAAAUAUUGGCCGGAGACCGAUAGCGCACAAGUAGAGUGAUCGAAAGAUGAAAAGCACUUUGAAAAGAGAGUUAAACAGCACGUGAAAUUGUUGAAAGGGAAGCGUUGGCAACCAGACUCGCCCGGGGGGGCUCAGCCGGCACGUGUGCCGGUGCACUCCCCCCCGGGCGGGCCAGCGUCGG